UACGUAGGGGGCUAGCGUUGUCCGGAAUCAUUGGGCGUAAAGAGCGUGUAGGCGGUCCGGUAAGUCCGCUGUGAAAGUCGGGGGCUCAACCCUCGAAAGCCGGUGGAUACUGUGGGGCUAGAGUCCGGAAGAGGCGAGUGGAAUUCCUGGUGUAGCGGUGGAAUGCGCAGAUAUCAGGAGGAACACCAAUAGCGAAGGCAGCUCGCUGGGACGGUACUGACGCUAAGGUGCGAAAGCGUGGGGAGCGAACAGG
RNAcentral lists this ribosomal RNA (253 nucleotides) under uncultured bacterium. RNAcentral's name for it is "partial 16S ribosomal RNA". It matches the Rfam family "Bacterial small subunit ribosomal RNA", at positions 524 to 776 of the family's 1533-position model. The record is from RNAcentral.